RNAcentral lists this ribosomal RNA (465 nucleotides) under uncultured bacterium. RNAcentral describes it as "partial 16S ribosomal RNA". It matches the Rfam family "Bacterial small subunit ribosomal RNA", at positions 338 to 795 of the family's 1533-position model. The record is from RNAcentral.
CCUACUGGAGGCAGCAGUUAGGAAUCUUCGGCCAUGGGGGCAACCCUGACCGAGCAAUGCCGCGUGUGAGCUGAAGGCCCUAUGGGUUGUAAAUCACUUUUAUUUGGGAAGCACUGUAAGUAGAGGAAAUGAUACUUACUUGCCGGUACCUUUUGCAUAAGCCCCGGCUAACUACGUGCCAGCAGCCGCGGUAAUACGUCUGGGGCGAGCGUUAUCCGGAUUUAUUGUGCGUAAAGCGUGCGUAGGCGGUUUGGUACGUCCAGAAUUAAAGCCCGAGGCUUAACCUCGGUUCGUUCUGGAAACUGGCAGACUAGAGGAUGGUAGAGGCAAAUGGAAUGCCUAGUGGAGCGGUGAAAUGCGUAGAUAUUAGGAGGAACACCAGUGGCGAAGGCGAUUUGCUGGGCCAUCACUGACGCUGAGGUACGAAAGCGUGGGGAGCAAAUAGGAUUAGAUACCCGGGUAGUC